GUGCCAGCAGCCGCGGUAAUACAGAGGUCCCGAGCGUUGUUCGGAUUCACUGGGCGUAAAGGGUGCGUAGGUGGUGAGGUAAGUCGGAUGUGAAAUCUCGGAGCUCAACUCCGAAACGGCAUUGGAAACUACCUUGCUGGAGGGUUGGAGGGGGGACUGGAAUGCUUGGUGUAGCAGUGAAAUGCGUAGAUAUCAAGCGGAACACCGGUGGCGAAGGCGAGUCCCUGGACAACACCUGACACUGAGGCACGAAAGCUAGGGGAGCAAACAGGAUUAGAAACCCCCGUAGUCC
Molecule: ribosomal RNA, 292 nt
Filed under: uncultured bacterium
Lineage: Bacteria
Description: partial 16S ribosomal RNA
Rfam family: Bacterial small subunit ribosomal RNA
Source: RNAcentral